AUUGAACGCUGGCGGCAGGCCUAACACAUGCAAGUCGAACGGUAGCACAGAGAGCUUGCUCUCGGGUGACGAGUGGCGGACGGGUGAGUAAUGUCUGGGAAACUGCCCGAUGGAGGGGGAUAACACUUGGAAACAGGUGCUAAUACCGCAUAACGUCGCAAGACCAAAGAGGGGGACCUUCGGGCCUCUUGCCAUCGGAUGUGCCCAGAUGGGAUUAGCUUGUAGGUGAGGUAACGGCUCACCUAGGCGACGAUCCCUAGCUGGUCUGAGAGGAUGACCA
This 280-nucleotide ribosomal RNA is filed under the name uncultured bacterium. RNAcentral describes it as "partial 16S ribosomal RNA". It matches the Rfam family "Bacterial small subunit ribosomal RNA", at positions 30 to 306 of the family's 1533-position model. The record is from RNAcentral.